CCCAGUAACGGCGAGUGAAGCGGCAACAGCUCAAAUUUGAAAUCUGGCUCUCGGGCCCGAGUUGUAAUUUGUAGAGGAUGCUUUUGGUGAGGUGCCUUCCGAGUUCCCUGGAACGGGACGCCAUAGAGGGUGAGAGCCCCGUCUGGUUGGACACCGAUCCUCUGUAAAGCUCCUUCGACGAGUCGAGUAGUUUGGGAAUGCUGCUCUAAAUGGGAGGUAUAUGUCUUCUAAAGCUAAAUACCGGCCAGAGACCGAUAGCGCACAAGUAGAGUGAUCGAAAGAUGAAAAGAACUUUGAAAAGAGAGUUAAACAGUACGUGAAAUUGUUGAAAGGGAAGCGCUUGUGACCAGACUUGGGCUUGGUUGAUCAUCCGGGGUUCUCCCCGGUGCACUCUUCCGGCCCAGGCCAGCAUCAGUUCGCCCUGGGGGACAAAGGCUUCGGGAAUGUGGCUCUCUCCGGGGAGUGUUAUAGCCCGUUGCGUAAUACCCUGUGGCGGACUGAGGUUCGCGCAUUCGCAAGGAUGCUGGCGUAAUGGUCAUCAGUGACCCGUCUUGAAACACGGACCAAGGAGUCGUCUUCGUAUGCGAGUGUUCGGGUGUCAAACCCCUACGCGAAAUGAAAGUGAACGCAGGUGAGAGCUUCGGCGCAUCAUCGACCGAUCCUGAUGUUAUCGGAUGGAUUUGAGUAAGAGCAUACGGGGCCGGACCCGAAAGAAGGUGAACUAUGCCUGUGUAGGGUGAAGCCAGAGGAAACUCUGGUGGAGGCUCGCAGCGGUUCUGACGUGCAAAUCGAUCGUCAAACAUGGGCAUGGGGGCGAAAGACUAAUCGAACCUUCUAGUAGCUGGUUUCCGCCGAAGUUUCCCUCAGGAUAGCAGUGUUGAACUCAGUUUUAUGAGGUAAAGCGAAUGAUUAGGGACUCGGGGGCGCUAUUUAGCCUUCAUCCAUUCUCAAACUUUAAAUAUGUAAGAAGCCCU
This 974-nucleotide ribosomal RNA is filed under the name Fusarium keratoplasticum. RNAcentral's name for it is "partial large subunit ribosomal RNA". It matches the Rfam family "Eukaryotic large subunit ribosomal RNA", at positions 79 to 1084 of the family's 3401-position model. Lineage: Eukaryota; Fungi; Ascomycota; Sordariomycetes; Hypocreales; Nectriaceae. The record is from RNAcentral.